GAUGAACGCUGGCGGCGUGCCUAAUACAUGCAAGUCGAGCGAGCGGACGAGAAGCUUGCUUCUCUGAUGUUAGCGGCGGACGGGUGAGUAACACGUGGAUAACCUACCUAUAAGACUGGGAUAACUUCGGGAAACCGGAGCUAAUACCGGAUAAUAUUUUGAACCGCAUGGUUCAAAAGUGAAAGACGGUCUUGCUGUCACUUAUAGAUGGAUCCGCGCUGCAUUAGCUAGUUGGUAAGGUAACGGCUUACCAAGGCAACGAUGCAUAGCCGACCUGAGAGGGUGAUCGGACACACUGGAACUGAGACACGGUCCAGACUCCUACGGGAGGCAGCAGUAGGGAAUCUUCCGCAAUGGGCGAAAGCCUGACGGAGCAACGCCGCGUGAGUGAUGAAGGUCUUCGGAUCGUAAAACUCUGUUAUUAGGGAAGAACAUAUGUGUAAGUAACUGUGCACAUCUUGACGGUACCUAAUCAGAAAGCCACGGCUAACUACGUG
This 497-nucleotide ribosomal RNA is filed under the name uncultured bacterium. Its description in RNAcentral is "partial 16S ribosomal RNA". It matches the Rfam family "Bacterial small subunit ribosomal RNA", at positions 28 to 507 of the family's 1533-position model. The record is from RNAcentral.